Molecule: ribosomal RNA, 333 nt
Filed under: Triticum aestivum (bread wheat)
Lineage: Eukaryota; Viridiplantae; Streptophyta; Magnoliopsida; Poales; Poaceae
Description: partial small subunit ribosomal RNA
Source: RNAcentral
AUGGCCACGAACCCGAAAAAGACGGCGGCCAGCCUGGACCGCAGCAGCUGCGAUGGUGAUCUGGUCAGGAGGAAGAUUGGCAGUCGCGAUGGAAGGUCCAGCGGAGCUUUGGUCCAUGGCCAUGGCGUCCUGCACGGGGACGGAGAGAGGGAGAGAGAAAGGAGGAGGAGGGCGCUGGGCACGGCUGACCUACAAAGGAGGUUGGCGGCGGCUUGCAGGAGCGCAGGCGGCGACGGGAGGCAGGGUGAAUGGGGGGAAGCGCACGGGAGGAGGGAAGGGAGGAAAUGCGACGCGAGGUUUGCUGCUGAUUCAUGGAAUCGAUCCGGAAAUUAG